GUACAAAGUUUGCCAAAUUACAAUGAAGAAUAUGUCUGAAAACUACUUGCUAUAUAAGAAUAUUAAUAUUUGGAUUAUCUGUUUCAGGUAUUUGAUACUACUUCACUCUCUGAAAAGGAAUCAAACCUACCUUAGAAAUGUCAUGCUUCGGCCAGUACAGACUGCAAUGCAGAGGCUCAAGAUGACCUUCAAGCUACAAAUGAGACUCGAGUACAAAACAAAGAAAUGAAGAUGUGUAAGACAAUACCUACAUUCUUCCUGCUGUUUACAGGAUAUUGUGUUAAAAAUAUGCGUGUUGCUGCAGAAGGGACAGAAGUCACAUCACUGUCACCUUUUACCUCACAAUCUCCUCAACAAGCAACAACAGGCUCAGGAAGUGCCACUUCCUCAACAGCAAUAAGUCGUGCAUCUCUGUUAGUGGCAGGACUUGGCAUUUUCUUUAUAAUGUUCUUAAUUUGUAUAAUUAUUGGUGUUUGGAAUGCACGAAAAUCAUCGAAGGAUUCAUUUCAGGUUACUUCUGCCCCAUCCAGUGAAGCUUAGGUGACCUUAAGAACAUCAAGACAUGAGAACCAAUGAGAAAAGAAGAAAUGAAAGUCCUAUU
RNAcentral lists this long non-coding RNA (601 nucleotides) under Numida meleagris (helmeted guineafowl). RNAcentral describes it as "lncRNA (ENSNMEG00000001450.1)". The record is from RNAcentral. Lineage: Eukaryota; Metazoa; Chordata; Aves; Galliformes; Numididae.